This is a non-coding RNA of Anas platyrhynchos (mallard), 833 nucleotides long. NCBI's taxonomy places the organism in Eukaryota, Metazoa, Chordata, Aves, Anseriformes, Anatidae. The record is from RefSeq and is a predicted model, not a curated record.
GGGAAACUGUUAGGGAACAGCAGCUGGGAUAAAAUAGUGAGAAUCAGCCCUGCAGACCCCCAGGCAGUAGAUUGCUGGCUGUGUGUUUAUUUCAAUAGGCCUGGGGACAAAUCUAUAAGGUUUCUGGUGCACUUGUACAACAUAAGAAACAUGCUGAGUAUCCUAACAUGUUGUACUUCAUUCAGAAAGGUCUCGAUAAUCUAGGAAUAUGAUGUGUUUUGCACCCAGUGGAAGUUUCCAUCAUUUUCAGUCCCUUAUCACAAAAAUCAAAAGCCAGGUGACUGAAGAACUCUUGGAAGAAAAGCUGUCAAAAUUCAGUGGCCUUCCAGUGACUGCAGUGGAUUCAACCAUCCACUGCAAUUCUUGUUCCUUUCAGAGAGGCCUUUGCUCCCUUCUCAGUGAUAAGCAACUUAAGCUUAUUGGAUUACUGAGUUGUUCUGUUUGUCUCCUGAUAUUUCAGGAAACAUACAACUGGACUUAAUUUUUCAGUGGAAGGAUGGGUGCUAAAAUUAAGGUAGAUGUUUCCCUCAGAAAUCAUUUUAAAACCUGUUGGUUUUCAGUCUUUUUUCACUCUGUUAGGACAGGACCAAGCAAAGUUCAUUCAUUCAGUGGUCAAGUGGCUAUAUUUUUCACCAGAUGAAUACAGGAAUAGAUGUGACUUUUGCAUUCCUACAGAAGAUCACUUUGAUCAUAUUCAUUCUUUGAGCUGCAUAUAUAUAUGUUUAGAAUUAAGGAAAAAUAUAAACCUCGCACAAAUAUGGGCUAAUAAAGAAAGAAAGAAAGAAACAAAAAUCAUUUCCUAUUUCUGCCAGUAAUUUUUUUAUACCUCCAAA